Molecule: ribosomal RNA, 321 nt
Filed under: uncultured Klebsiella sp.
Lineage: Bacteria; Pseudomonadati; Pseudomonadota; Gammaproteobacteria; Enterobacterales; Enterobacteriaceae
Description: bacterial SSU rRNA
Rfam family: Bacterial small subunit ribosomal RNA
Source: RNAcentral
UGGGGAAUAUUGCACAAUGGGCGCGAGCCUGAUGCAGCCAUGCCGCGUGUGUGAAGAAGGCCUUCGGGUUGUAAAGCACUUUCAGCGGGGAGGAAGGCGGUGAGGUUAAUAACCUCACCGAUUGACGCUACCCGCAGAAGAAGCACCGGCUAACUCCGUGCCAGCAGCCGCGGUACUACGGAGGGUGCAAGCGUUAAUCGGAAUUACUGGGCGUAAAGCGCACGCAGGCGGUCUGUCAAGUCGGAUGUGAAAUCCCCGGGCUCAACCUGGGAACUGCAUUCGAAACUGGCAGGCUAGAGUCUUGUAGAGGGGUAGGAUUCA